UUUUAUUAUAAAAUUUUAUAAUAUCAAUUAAAAUAUAAUAGAUAUAUUUUAAUAUUUUCAUAAUUUCAAUUUUAAAUUUUUUAUUAAAUAUUUUUUACUUUUGUAUAUAUAUUGUUUUAAAAAAAAUUGAAAAAAUUUUUACCCUCCCGCAACCGCCUGCAACCGCAAACACAAGCAUGAGCCAGCUUUUGAAUUUAUGAGAUUCGGAGCUGUUUGAAGCGGUUUAGAGCGAUUUGAGUGAUUGUUACAAACCGCCGACAACCGCUACCAACCGCAAAAACUGCAUUUGCGGGUGGUAGCGGGAAAACCAGUCGCCCCCUUAAGUCGUAACGUAGAGAAAUUUUUUUUUACAGAGUGAACAGAAAAAGGAGAAACUUUUCACCGAAUUCUUGGAUGAAGAAAGAUGGAGGAGAAGUCAUGGUUUGGAUUCCGCCCAUCGAGCUCUUGGAUUUAAUAUGUCCGUCACAAAAUUCUGGGAAAGUCGACGGAAUCUGCAGCUUAAAAUCUUGGGACUUGUGCUAGAAAACAACGACAGAACAUGAAGACGCCUUGUGGGUUCUGGAAACUCACCUGGUAGUGGGAACACUUGUCUGGAUAUAGAGGUAUGAUUGGUCAUAAAGAGUUAUGGUAUUCCUCGGGGGGAAAAGCAGCAGCUCUUCUGAGAAAACCAAAUCAGAAUGGGUGUGCACGAGUUUCACUACACCCUCUUACCUGAAGUCUGAAGACAAGGAGAUGUAUGGCAUUUGCAUAGUUGAAUCAAUGGUUAGAUGUUAUGAGAAUCUCGUGGCUUGUUUUUGAAUAUAGCUAGGAUAUAAUCGAUCAAAGAUCUUGAAACAUGUGAUCUUGUGUGGGUUUUAAAAUGUGAACGCUAAGGCGUGAGGCGACCUCAGUUGGAGGGGUCAUGGCCUUACAGAGGUGAGGCGAGGUGUUUUCAGGAAGGCGACGCUCCACCACGCCUCACGCCUCACGCCUCACGCCUCACACGCAUUGGACGCCUCUGCAAAAAAAAGGGGCGGACAAGCUUUUGUCUGCAGAGUUCCAGCCUUCUCUAGAGGAGUUGAUACCGUUUCUGCCACAAAAUCGUCAGUUUUUGAUGUAUUCCGCUGCAUCUCCUGUCACUGUGAAGGCUUUGACGGAUCGACGCUAUUUGUUAUCAACCUCAUGGAUGUUAUUUAAGUAUUUUGUAUGUUUAAAACUUGAGAAUCCUUUUUGAAUGUUUAAAACUUGGUGUGUUGCAAAAUAAAAAUAUUUAACACAUGUAAAACUCUAAAAUAUAUAGUAUUAAAAAGGGGAAAAUGUUUUUACAAAAAAAAUUCACAUGUAAAACGUGCAGCUGUCAUAUAUAGAUUUAAUAUCUCGAUUUAGUGAUAUUCUACAAAAAAAAUUCAUUAAAACGGAUAUAAAAUCAAUACGAAAGAUAAAUAUUUAUCAUCUUUUUUAGAUUUUAAAACCGUUUAUGUUUCAUAAAAUUUGUUUUGUUUUAUUCAUGUUAAAAUAAUAAUAUAAAAAAAAUACUCAUGUAAAACGUGCAGCCGUUAUAUACAUAAAUUUAAUAUUCUAAUUAUACUUAGUAAUUCUUGGUAAUCUUCAACGUAAUAGUAAUACCACUUUACACAUAGUAAUACUUUGGCAAAUUUUAAGUUUUAUUAGUAAAACCAUGUCCAAAUGAAAUAUUUUAUAGUAAAACCAAUGAUUUUAUAUAGUGUAUGUCAUUAAGGAAAAGUAUUACAGAAACAGUUUACCAGAAAUAAGUAUUUUUAUAGAUUCUCCUUACUAUAGCCUAACGAUUCACGUAACAACCAUGAAAGUUAAGGCAUCAUUUUGGAAAAAUGGUAAAUAUUCCUAAAACUAUAGAAAAUAAUCAUCUAAAUAGUUUUAACUAUAUACAUUGUCUACUAAUAGAUAAUAUAUGGGUUCUAUAUGUUAAAUAUACGUACUACUUGCAAUAUAUAUGGGUUUAAAAUUACACAUAAUAAAACCAAGUAAUCCUAGUAGUCCGAAUUAAUAUAAUAAACCCAGUAAUCUUAGUAUUUCGAAUUACACACAGUAAAUUUAGUAAUCCUAGUAGUCGGAUUACACACAAUAAACCCAGUAAUCCUAGUUGUCAGGUUAUACACAAUGAAAACAUGAUAAAUAAAAGCUUGUCUUAUUCCUCUACAUGCCAUUGCGUAUGAUACAUCCACACCAGUCCUGCGUAUAACCAAAUCGAUGUUACUGUCCUUUCUGAAAGUUUUCUAGGUAAAAGUUAUCUAAAUUUUCAGAACAACGAUCUCAGGGAACAAUUAUAUAUUUGCAUCAUAACUUUUAGGGUAAUUCAGUUUUCAGUUAUUUUGGUUAGUUAUUUCAGUCCGCUCAAAAAAUUUGUCAGACAGAAUUUAGGAGACUUUGUUAAGACCUAUCAGCAGAUUCUCCACGCUAGUGUGGUUGGUCAUGAGCUUGAUGUGGAGAAGCAAAGAUUUGGGGUAUGUUCUGAUGAAGUAUCCAGAGUUGUUAGGGUUUAAGCUCGAAGGGAUAAUGAGUACAUUAGUUGCUUAUUUGGCGUCAAGGAAUAGAUGCUACCUUUGGUUACCGAUAAAGGACAAGAUGUCUACAAAACACUACUUUUUCAGCGUGAAGCUCAAGAUUGAUCCUGAAGGAUUUGCUCGUGUUGUUGAGAAGAUGCCAAGAGUUGUAAGCCUUAAGCAGUUAAGCAUAACUGUGAUAAUGAAACCUUUUAGAGUUUCUGUUAGGAAUUUAUGGAACUGGUUCCUCAACUGCAGUGACCAAAGGUUUGAGGAACGGUUGGAAUGUAACUUUACUGAUGCAGAUAUGCCUAAUAAAUAGUAAUGGUAGUGAUGAGGUUGCAUCUUGCGUUAUUUACAUUAUCUAUGAUAUACAUCUUAUUUUAAUGAUAUUUCAGAAAAAAUAUCAUCAAAAUCAGACAUAAUAAACCCACAAAAAAAACAGUUUUAAAAUUAUUUUCAAAUUUU
Long non-coding RNA from Brassica rapa (field mustard), 2969 nucleotides. RefSeq lists it as uncharacterized. The record is from RefSeq and is a predicted model, not a curated record. Lineage: Eukaryota; Viridiplantae; Streptophyta; Magnoliopsida; Brassicales; Brassicaceae.